GACAGAGGAGGCGAGCGGUAUCCGGAGUUAUUGGGCGUAAAGGGUACGUAGGCGGCUGGUCAAGUCUGGGGUUAAAGACCACAGCUUAACUGUGGGGAGGCCUUGGAAACUGACCGGCUAGAGUGGGGCAGGGGUUGCGGGAAUUCCCGGUGUAGCGGUGAAAUGCGUAGAGAUCGGGAAGAACACCUGAGGCGGAAGCGCGCAACUGGGCCUCAACUGACUCUGAGGGACGAAAGCUAGGGGAGCGAAUGGG
Molecule: ribosomal RNA, 253 nt
Filed under: uncultured bacterium
Lineage: Bacteria
Description: partial 16S ribosomal RNA
Rfam family: Bacterial small subunit ribosomal RNA
Source: RNAcentral